Molecule: ribosomal RNA, 433 nt
Filed under: uncultured bacterium
Lineage: Bacteria
Description: partial 16S ribosomal RNA
Rfam family: Bacterial small subunit ribosomal RNA
Source: RNAcentral
AACAAACGCUGGCGGCAUGCCUAACACAUGCAAGUCGAACGAUCCCUUCGGGGAUAGUGGCGCACGGGUGCGUAACGCGUGGGAACCUGCCCUUAGGUUCGGAAUAACUCAGAGAAAUUUGAGCUAAUACCGGAUAAUGUCUUCGGACCAAAGAUUUAUCGCCUUUGGAUGGGCCCGCGUUGGAUUAGCUAGUUGGUGGGGUAAAGGCCUACCAAGGCGACGAUCCAUAGCUGGUCUGAGAGGAUGAUCAGCCACACUGGGACUGAGACACGGCCCAGACUCCUACGGGAGGCAGCAGUGGGGAAUAUUGGACAAUGGGCGAAAGCCUGAUCCAGCAAUGCCGCGUGAGUGAUGAAGGCCUUAGGGUUGUAAAGCUCUUUUACCCGGGAUGAUAAUGACAGUACCGGGAGAAUAAGCCCCGGCUAACUCCGUG